GACGAACGCUGGCGGCGUGCUUAACACAUGCAAGUCGAACGGAAAGGCCCUGCUUUUGUGGGGUGCUCGAGUGGCGAACGGGUGAGUAACACGCGGGUAACCCGCCCUUGACUUUGGGAUAAUUCCAGGAAACUGGGGCUAAUAUCGGAUAGAAGCUCCUGCUGCUUGGUGGUGGUUGGAAAGUUUCGGCGGUUGGGGAUGGUCUCGCGGCUGAUCAGCUUGUUGGUGGGGUAGUGGCUUUCCAAGGCUUUGACGGGUAGCCGGCCUGAGGGGGUGACCGGCGCAAUUGGGACUGCGGUACGGACCAGACUCCUCCGGGGGGCAGCAGUGGGAAAUAUUGCACAAUGGGCGGAAGCCUGAGGCAGCGACGCCGCGUGCGGGAUGAGGGCCUUCGGGUUGUAAACCGCUUUCGCCUGUGACGAAGCGUUAGUGACGGUAAUGAGUAAAGAAGCACCGGCUAACUACGUG
RNAcentral lists this ribosomal RNA (468 nucleotides) under uncultured bacterium. Its description in RNAcentral is "partial 16S ribosomal RNA". It matches the Rfam family "Bacterial small subunit ribosomal RNA", at positions 28 to 507 of the family's 1533-position model. The record is from RNAcentral.